This 72-nucleotide transfer RNA is filed under the name Ovis aries (sheep). It matches the Rfam family "tRNA". From Rfam's summary of the family: Transfer RNA (tRNA) molecules are approximately 80 nucleotides in length. Their secondary structure includes four short double-helical elements and three loops (D, anti-codon, and T loops). Lineage: Eukaryota; Metazoa; Chordata; Mammalia; Artiodactyla; Bovidae. The record is from Rfam by way of RNAcentral. RNAcentral also lists the same sequence under 3 other names.
UCCCUGGUGGCUCAGAGGCUAAAGCAUCUGCCUGCAAUGCGGGAGACCUGGGUUCGAUCCCUGGGUUGGGAA